UACGUAGGGUGCGAGCGUUAAUCGGAAUUACUGGGCGUAAAGCGUGCGCAGGCGGUUUUGUAAGCCAGAUGUGAAAUCCCCGGGCUCAACCUGGGAAUGGCAUUUGGGACUGCAAGGCUCGAGUGCGGCAGAGGAGACUGGAAUUCCUGGUGUAGCAGUGAAAUGCGUAGAUAUCAGGAGGAAUACCGAUGGCGAAGGCAGGUCUCUGGGCUAUAACUGACGCUCAUGCACGAAAGCGUGGGGAGCAAACAGG
RNAcentral lists this ribosomal RNA (253 nucleotides) under uncultured bacterium. RNAcentral describes it as "partial 16S ribosomal RNA". It matches the Rfam family "Bacterial small subunit ribosomal RNA", at positions 524 to 776 of the family's 1533-position model. The record is from RNAcentral.